GAAAUAUAAGAAACCGUCUCUUAACUUUUAACUAAAAAAACUAAGAACCGGUUUUUAAAUAUUUAAAAACCGGUUCUUACAUUUUUUAGUUAAAAGGUAAGAGACGAUUUCUUAUAUUUC
Brassica napus (rape) is the source of this 120-nucleotide non-coding RNA. Lineage: Eukaryota; Viridiplantae; Streptophyta; Magnoliopsida; Brassicales; Brassicaceae. The record is from Rfam.